RNAcentral lists this transfer RNA (72 nucleotides) under Camelus bactrianus (Bactrian camel). It matches the Rfam family "tRNA". Rfam says of the family: Transfer RNA (tRNA) molecules are approximately 80 nucleotides in length. Their secondary structure includes four short double-helical elements and three loops (D, anti-codon, and T loops). The record is from Rfam by way of RNAcentral. RNAcentral also lists the same sequence under 1 other name. Lineage: Eukaryota; Metazoa; Chordata; Mammalia; Artiodactyla; Camelidae.
GAGGGUGUGGCUCAGUGGUACAGCACACGCCGAGCACGCACAAGGUCCUGGGUUCAAUUCCCAGUACCUCCA